Molecule: ribosomal RNA, 2786 nt
Filed under: Escherichia coli
Lineage: Bacteria; Pseudomonadati; Pseudomonadota; Gammaproteobacteria; Enterobacterales; Enterobacteriaceae
Description: bacterial LSU rRNA
Rfam family: Bacterial large subunit ribosomal RNA
Source: RNAcentral
AGCGUACACGGUGGAUGCCCUGGCAGUCAGAGGCGAUGAAGGACGUGCUAAUCUGCGAUAAGCGUCGGUAAGGUGAUAUGAACCGUUAUAACCGGCGAUUUCCGAAUGGGGAAACCCAGUGUGAUUCGUCACACUAUCAUUAACUGAAUCCAUAGGUUAAUGAGGCGAACCGGGGGAACUGAAACAUCUAAGUACCCCGAGGAAAAGAAAUCAACCGAGAUUCCCCCAGUAGCGGCGAGCGAACGGGGAGGAGCCCAGAGCCUGAAUCAGUGUGUGUGUUAGUGGAAGCGUCUGGAAAGGCGCGCGAUACAGGGUGACAGCCCCGUACACAAAAAUGCACAUGCUGUGAGCUCGAUGAGUAGGGCGGGACACGUGGUAUCCUGUCUGAAUAUGGGGGGACCAUCCUCCAAGGCUAAAUACUCCUGACUGACCGAUAGUGAACCAGUACCGUGAGGGAAAGGCGAAAAGAACCCCGGCGAGGGGAGUGAAAAAGAACCUGAAACCGUGUACGUACAAGCAGUGGGAGCCUCUUUAUGGGGUGACUGCGUACCUUUUGUAUAAUGGGUCAGCGACUUAUAUUCUGUAGCAAGGUUAACCGAAUAGGGGAGCCGAAGGGAAACCGAGUCUUAACUGGGCGUUAAGUUGCAGGGUAUAGACCCGAAACCCGGUGAUCUAGCCAUGGGCAGGUUGAAGGUUGGGUAACACUAACUGGAGGACCGAACCGACUAAUGUUGAAAAAUUAGCGGAUGACUUGUGGCUGGGGGUGAAAGGCCAAUCAAACCGGGAGAUAGCUGGUUCUCCCCGAAAGCUAUUUAGGUAGCGCCUCGUGAAUUCAUCUCCGGGGGUAGAGCACUGUUUCGGCAAGGGGGUCAUCCCGACUUACCAACCCGAUGCAAACUGCGAAUACCGGAGAAUGUUAUCACGGGAGACACACGGCGGGUGCUAACGUCCGUCGUGAAGAGGGAAACAACCCAGACCGCCAGCUAAGGUCCCAAAGUCAUGGUUAAGUGGGAAACGAUGUGGGAAGGCCCAGACAGCCAGGAUGUUGGCUUAGAAGCAGCCAUCAUUUAAAGAAAGCGUAAUAGCUCACUGGUCGAGUCGGCCUGCGCGGAAGAUGUAACGGGGCUAAACCAUGCACCGAAGCUGCGGCAGCGACGCUGAUGCGUUGUUGGGUAGGGGAGCGUUCUGUAAGCCUGUGAAGGUGUGCUGUGAGGCAUGCUGGAGGUAUCAGAAGUGCGAAUGCUGACAUAAGUAACGAUAAAGCGGGUGAAAAGCCCGCUCGCCGGAAGACCAAGGGUUCCUGUCCAACGUUAAUCGGGGCAGGGUGAGUCGACCCCUAAGGCGAGGCCGAAAGGCGUAGUCGAUGGGAAACAGGUUAAUAUUCCUGUACUUGGUGUUACUGCGAAGGGGGGACGGAGAAGGCUAUGUUGGCCGGGCGACGGUUGUCCCGGUUUAAGCGUGUAGGCUGGUUUUCCAGGCAAAUCCGGAAAAUCAAGGCUGAGGCGUGAUGACGAGGCACUACGGUGCUGAAGCAACAAAUGCCCUGCUUCCAGGAAAAGCCUCUAAGCAUCAGGUAACAUCAAAUCGUACCCCAAACCGACACAGGUGGUCAGGUAGAGAAUACCAAGGCGCUUGAGAGAACUCGGGUGAAGGAACUAGGCAAAAUGGUGCCGUAACUUCGGGAGAAGGCACGCUGAUAUGUAGGUGAAGUCCCUCGCGGAUGGAGCUGAAAUCAGUCGAAGAUACCAGCUGGCUGCAACUGUUUAUUAAAAACACAGCACUGUGCAAACACGAAAGUGGACGUAUACGGUGUGACGCCUGCCCGGUGCCGGAAGGUUAAUUGAUGGGGUCAGCGCAAGCGAAGCUCUUGAUCGAAGCCCCGGUAAACGGCGGCCGUAACUAUAACGGUCCUAAGGUAGCGAAAUUCCUUGUCGGGUAAGUUCCGACCUGCACGAAUGGCGUAAUGAUGGCCAGGCUGUCUCCACCCGAGACUCAGUGAAAUUGAACUCGCUGUGAAGAUGCAGUGUACCCGCGGCAAGACGGAAAGACCCCGUGAACCUUUACUAUAGCUUGACACUGAACAUUGAGCCUUGAUGUGUAGGAUAGGUGGGAGGCUUAGAAGUGUGGACGCCAGUCUGCAUGGAGCCGACCUUGAAAUACCACCCUUUAAUGUUUGAUGUUCUAACGUUGACCCGUAAUCCGGGUUGCGGACAGUGUCUGGUGGGUAGUUUGACUGGGGCGGUCUCCUCCUAAAGAGUAACGGAGGAGCACGAAGGUUGGCUAAUCCUGGUCGGACAUCAGGAGGUUAGUGCAAUGGCAUAAGCCAGCUUGACUGCGAGCGUGACGGCGCGAGCAGGUGCGAAAGCAGGUCAUAGUGAUCCGGUGGUUCUGAAUGGAAGGGCCAUCGCUCAACGGAUAAAAGGUACUCCGGGGAUAACAGGCUGAUACCGCCCAAGAGUUCAUAUCGACGGCGGUGUUUGGCACCUCGAUGUCGGCUCAUCACAUCCUGGGGCUGAAGUAGGUCCCAAGGGUAUGGCUGUUCGCCAUUUAAAGUGGUACGCGAGCUGGGUUUAGAACGUCGUGAGACAGUUCGGUCCCUAUCUGCCGUGGGCGCUGGAGAACUGAGGGGGGCUGCUCCUAGUACGAGAGGACCGGAGUGGACGCAUCACUGGUGUUCGGGUUGUCAUGCCAAUGGCACUGCCCGGUAGCUAAAUGCGGAAGAGAUAAGUGCUGAAAGCAUCUAAGCACGAAACUUGCCCCGAGAUGAGUUCUCCCUGACUCCUUGA